Molecule: ribosomal RNA, 407 nt
Filed under: Clostridioides difficile
Lineage: Bacteria; Bacillati; Bacillota; Clostridia; Peptostreptococcales; Peptostreptococcaceae
Description: bacterial SSU rRNA
Rfam family: Bacterial small subunit ribosomal RNA
Source: RNAcentral
CACUCUAGAGAGACUGCCAGGGAUAACCUGGAGGAAGGUGGGGAUGACGUCAAAUCAUCAUGCCCCUUAUGCUUAGGGCUACACACGUGCUACAAUGGGUAGUACAGAGGGUUGCCAAGCCGUAAGGUGGAGCUAAUCCCUUAAAGCUACUCUCAGUUCGGAUUGUAGGCUGAAACUCGCCUACAUGAAGCUGGAGUUACUAGUAAGCGCAGAUCAGAAUGCUGCGGUGAAUGCGUUCCCGGGUCUUGUACACACCGCCCGUCACACCACGGGAGUUGGAGACGCCCGAAGCCGAUUAUCUAACCUUUUGGAAGAAGUCGUCGAAGGUGGAAUUAAUAACUGGGGUGAAGUCGUAACAAGGUAGCCGUAUCGGAAGGUGCGGCUGGAUCACCUCCUUUCUAAGGAGA